RNAcentral lists this transfer RNA (84 nucleotides) under Nanobdellota archaeon. RNAcentral's name for it is "tRNA-Leu". It matches the Rfam family "tRNA". From Rfam's summary of the family: Transfer RNA (tRNA) molecules are approximately 80 nucleotides in length. Their secondary structure includes four short double-helical elements and three loops (D, anti-codon, and T loops). The record is from RNAcentral. Lineage: Archaea; Nanobdellati; Nanobdellota.
GCGGAGAUGCCGGAGUGGUCAAACGGGACAGGCUUAGGACCUGUUAGCUUAGUGCUUUCCUAGGUUCGAAUCCUAGUCUCCGCA